UAUGUGGAUGUGAGGAUUGGAGGAAACCAAAGAGAUUGAUGUUUGAAAUGCAUGGUGCUUUCUCUCUGGUUUUCUCCAAUAUCUCAUAUUCAGUUC
Molecule: non-coding RNA, 96 nt
Organism: Populus trichocarpa (black cottonwood)
Lineage: Eukaryota; Viridiplantae; Streptophyta; Magnoliopsida; Malpighiales; Salicaceae
Source: Rfam